RNAcentral lists this ribosomal RNA (329 nucleotides) under uncultured eukaryote. Its description in RNAcentral is "partial 18S ribosomal RNA". It matches the Rfam family "Eukaryotic small subunit ribosomal RNA", at positions 1470 to 1796 of the family's 1831-position model. The record is from RNAcentral.
CCCUUAGAUGUUCUGGGCCGCACGCGCGCUACACUGACGAUGGCAACGAGUUUUUCCUUCGCCGAAAGGUGUGGGUAAUCUUUUGAAACAUCGUCGUGCUGGGGAUAGAUCAUUGCAAUUUUUGAUCUUGAACGAGGAAUUCCUAGUAAGCGCGAGUCAUCAGCUCGCGUUGAUUACGUCCCUGCCCUUUGUACACACCGCCCGUCGUUACUACCGAUUGAAUGGUUUAGUGAGGACUCCUGAUUGGCGCCGCCGCCCCGGCAACGGAGCAGCGGACUGCCGAAAAGUUGUUCAAACUUGAUCAUUUAGAGGAAGUAAAAGGCGUAACA